GACGAACGCUGGCGGCGUGCUUAACACAUGCAAGUCGAACGGUGAAGCCUUCGGGUGGAUCAGUGGCGAACGGGUGAGUAACACGUGAGCAAUCUGCCCUUGACUCUGGGAUAACUUCGGGAAACCGGAGCUAAUACCGGAUAUGACAUCUGGCCGCAUGGUCUGGGUGUGGAAAGAUUUAUCGGUCAAGGAUGAGCUCGCGGCCUAUCAGCUUGUUGGUGGGGAAUGGCCCACCAAGGCGACGACGGGUAGCCGGCCUGAGAGGGCGACCGGCCACACUGGGACUGAGACACGGCCCAGACUCCUACGGGAGGCAGCAGUGGGGAAUAUUGCGCAAUGGGCGGAAGCCUGACGCAGCGACGCCGCGUGAGGGAUGAA
This 378-nucleotide ribosomal RNA is filed under the name uncultured bacterium. RNAcentral's name for it is "bacterial SSU rRNA". It matches the Rfam family "Bacterial small subunit ribosomal RNA", at positions 28 to 412 of the family's 1533-position model. The record is from RNAcentral.